UUCGUGAUGCCUGUGAAUCACAGGUGAGUUAAUUAUAAUUAGCAGGUGAAUUGCACGUAAGCAACAAAAAAAGUACUCAAAUCUGCAAUAUCUAUGGAAUUAAAAUGGGUAAUAGCAAACUUACUUGAAGGUUUGUUUAUGUAUUGAUUAGGAUUGCUAUUUACAUAUUAAACAAGAAUUUGCUGGACUAAUUGAGAAGUGGCAUGAUUGUUUGUGUGUGAUUCAGAUAAUUAAGUUUAUUCUUGAACCUCUGCUUCUCAUUGAACAUAUAAUUUGUCAUUACAUUUUAUUCUUUUUUAAAAGUUAUUUUUGAGUCAAAAUUAUCCUUGUAUUACUAAUUUCAAGGCUGAUACAUUUUGUUUUAAGUGCAACGUUCAUCAUGUUUGGUUCCAGGCUGUUAUGAAAGCUUGUGUG
Molecule: unclassified non-coding RNA, 414 nt
Filed under: Hevea brasiliensis (rubber tree)
Lineage: Eukaryota; Viridiplantae; Streptophyta; Magnoliopsida; Malpighiales; Euphorbiaceae
Source: RNAcentral